This 253-nucleotide ribosomal RNA is filed under the name uncultured bacterium. Its description in RNAcentral is "partial 16S ribosomal RNA". It matches the Rfam family "Bacterial small subunit ribosomal RNA", at positions 524 to 776 of the family's 1533-position model. The record is from RNAcentral.
UACGGAGGUGGCAAGCGUUGCUCGGAAUCAUUGGGCGUAAAGCGCGUGUAGGCGGCUUGGUAAGUCCGGUGUGAAACCUUGGGGCUCAACCCCAAGCCUGCACUGGAUACUGCCUCGCUUGAGUCCGGGAGGGGAGAGCGGAAUUCCUAGUGUAGCGGUGAAAUGCGCAGAUAUCGGGAGGAACACCAAUGGCGAAGGCAGCUCGCUGGGACGUGACUGACGCUGAGACGCGAAAGCGUGGGGAGCAAACAGG